UACGAACUGUGCAAACGUUAUUCGGAAUCACUGGGCUUAAAGGGUGCGUAGGCGGCUUGUUAAGUAGGGUGUGAAAUCCCAAGGCUCAACCUUGGAAUUGCGCCCUAAACUGGCGAGCUGGAGUGAGAUAGGGGUGUGUGGAACUUCCGGUGGAGCGGUGAAAUGUGUUGAUAUCGGAAGGAACGCCAGUGGCGAAAGCGACACACUGGGUCUCAACUGACGCUGAGGCACGAAAGCCAGGGGAGCAAACGGG
RNAcentral lists this ribosomal RNA (253 nucleotides) under uncultured bacterium. Its description in RNAcentral is "partial 16S ribosomal RNA". It matches the Rfam family "Bacterial small subunit ribosomal RNA", at positions 524 to 776 of the family's 1533-position model. The record is from RNAcentral.